AAACCUAAUUAGGCAUUAAAAAAGGUUAACGCCAGCGCCUGAAACGUUUUUGUUUAAUAAUCCCAUUACUGCCGGCUCAUCAUGUAUAAAAUGGUGCAGGAGGACACUAAGUUUCCACUUGUUAAAGGGAAUCUCUGAGAAAUAGUCGCAGGUUUUUGACACUAUCUCCGAUUGGGAAAAUUAGGGGUUGUAAUUAAACAGCGGAGACUCAGCUCAGCACAGCGCACAGACUUCCUGGAAGGCUGUGAUUGGCCGGCUGUCUGGGUAGUGAUAGCAGCCCUGGAGCCGAGGAUGAUUGAUGACGGCGGGGGCAAGGCCGACACUGGCAGCAUAAAGCUCCAUAGACGCCUCAAUAAAGAGCCUGGCCAGUGGAGAGCCUGGGCCCCUCCGCCUCCGAGGACCCACGGCUAGAGGAGUGCAUGGAGAGAGGCAGAGGAAGAGAGGGAGAAGGAGAGGUGCUCUGUUGUCGGAUAAUCUGUUUAGCUGUCGAGCCAGCAGCCGUCUGAGGCUGGAUAAGUGCAGCGACGGAUGUGUGUGGGGUGAAAAUAGCAGGGGUUGGCUGGUGGAGAGCUGGAGGGGGAGAAAGAGGCAGAGACGGAGGGGUAGGAGUUGGAAGGGGGGCACAUAAUGGGAAAAAAAGGGAAGAAGAUGAAGCAGAGGGGAAAUGGGAGAAGCAGGCUGGCUGUUUACGCAUGCUAAAAAUGAUCAACGAGCCAAAAAAAAGUUGACCACAAGAAAGUGAGCGAUGUGACCCCUCACACGUCAACUCUGGUGGUCAUGACUCAGCCAGCCAAUGCAUAACUGCGGUGACCUUUGGUUCAGCAGAUCAAUGAGACCCUGCAACAUUGGAUUCCUUGGGUGUUGCAUCUACUGAUGUGCCUCCAGACCACAUGCAGCCCUGUUGUAACCCCCAUCUCACAGCAGCUCUGAAAAACACAAUUAGGCACCAAUCUGCUCCUACCAAGCCAGCUUUCAGUGAGUCCAGCAUGGCUACACGGAGUCCUGCAGACCCUCCUGGCUGGAGUUGUCAGGAUGGAGGUCAGAAAGAGAGAGACGAGUGAUGAAAAUGACCAUGUCUUCACUCUGCAGGAACUAGGAGGGGUUUUGUCUGACUGUUGACAUUUUAAUGUAAAGUUUAACGUAUUGAUGCAGUUUCUGAUAAUAAAUCUAACAUGGUUUUAUAAAAUGUA
Molecule: long non-coding RNA, 1190 nt
Organism: Xiphophorus hellerii (green swordtail)
Lineage: Eukaryota; Metazoa; Chordata; Actinopteri; Cyprinodontiformes; Poeciliidae
Exons: 2
Source: RefSeq, a predicted model, not a curated record